Molecule: long non-coding RNA, 545 nt
Organism: Hydra vulgaris (swiftwater hydra)
Lineage: Eukaryota; Metazoa; Cnidaria; Hydrozoa; Anthoathecata; Hydridae
Source: RefSeq, a predicted model, not a curated record
CAAAUAUCGAUAGCAUUUCAAUAACUUAAAAAAGCUAGCGAUCCUCGUGGUCAAAUCGCUGUCUUUAUCGUUACGAUUAUAGCAAGGUAUUUUCUAGCCAAUUUCCCACCGGGAUUGAUACAACAUAAAGCAGUGGUAUUAACAUCUCUUUCACACUUAUUAUACCUCCUACCUAUUUACCUCUUAGAGCUAACACUCUACGUGGUUUCUGUACUGCAUUUAUUCCUGUUUCAUUUACAUCGUUAAGCAAACCAGAAGUAGUAUUGCAAUUAUCAACAAGUUCAGUUUAUUAAAAAAUAUUACAACCUUUUCCUAACAAAAACAUUGACAUAGAUGUUGGUUGAAGUAAUUUCAAACGAAGAAAUGCUUGGAGAAAGUAGUUUUUCUUAAUAUGGUAAAAACCUUAGCAUUGAGCGAGCCGAGGCGAUUUUCUUUAUUAAUUUAAUCGACAAAAGGCGUGUAAAUCACAAAAGAACAAAUAAUAUUUUUCACAUUUAUUUUUAAUGUAUUUAUUAAUAGCUAUUAUUUAAAUAUAAAUUCAUUUU